Molecule: small nuclear RNA, 107 nt
Organism: Capra hircus (goat)
Lineage: Eukaryota; Metazoa; Chordata; Mammalia; Artiodactyla; Bovidae
Source: Ensembl
GUGCUCGCUUCGGCAGCGCAUAUACUAUAACUGGAAUUAUACAGAGAAGAUUAGCAUGGCCCCUGCACAAGGAUGACACGCAAAUUCAUGAAAUGUUCCAUAUUUUU